GUGGAUUAGAUACCCUGGUAGUCCACACUGUAAACGAUGAUUGCUAGGUGUGGGGGGUCUGACCCCUUCCGUGCCGGAGUUAACGCAAUAAGCAAUCCACCUGGGGAGUACGGCCGCAAGGUUGAAACUCAAAGGAAUUGACGGGGGCCCGCACAAGCAGUGGAUUAUGUGGUUUAAUUCGAAGCAACGCGAAGAACCUUACCAGGUCUUGACAUCCGACUAACGAAGUAGAGAUACAUCAGGUGCCCUUCGGGGAAAGUCGAGACAGGUGGUGCACGGUCGUCGUCAACU
This 291-nucleotide ribosomal RNA is filed under the name uncultured bacterium. RNAcentral's name for it is "partial 16S ribosomal RNA". It matches the Rfam family "Bacterial small subunit ribosomal RNA", at positions 773 to 1060 of the family's 1533-position model. The record is from RNAcentral.